RNAcentral lists this transfer RNA (66 nucleotides) under Peltospira smaragdina. RNAcentral describes it as "tRNA-Glu". Lineage: Eukaryota; Metazoa; Mollusca; Gastropoda; Neomphalida; Peltospiridae. The record is from RNAcentral.
AUUCUUGUAGUGUAAUAAGCACAUUAAGGGUUUCAUCCUAAAGGUAUAUAGGUAAUAUCAAGAAUU